AAGUGUUAAUUUUAGAGUUUCACCUGUAGUAUACCAUCUUGUAUUAAUAUCGAUCUAAACCCGUCCAUUCUAGAAUUUUCCAGCUUGUAUUAAAAAUUGAAUCACAUCAUACACAUAAAAAAAACUAAUAUGUUAUGAAUUAUUGUAGUAUAUAAGAUUAUAAAUUUUCAAAAUAAUAUGUAUGAAAUUGAAUAUAAAUAUUCAAAUUAUGACCCAAUACUCAGUAGAAAGUUUUUUUAAAUCUAUUUUUGACCCGUUAUAAUAUUUUUUCAUGUAUUGAACAGUUUCUAUUUGUUUUUAAAAAUUCAAAUUAUGGCAUAUGCGAAAAAACUCUAAUUAUGUUUUUAUAACGAUGAUAUUAUUUUUUCGCAAAAAUAGAAUCAUAUAAAGAUGAGAGGUGAACUAUAAUAAUU
Molecule: small RNA, 413 nt
Filed under: Arabidopsis thaliana (thale cress)
Lineage: Eukaryota; Viridiplantae; Streptophyta; Magnoliopsida; Brassicales; Brassicaceae
Description: ATSL004030
Source: RNAcentral